Molecule: ribosomal RNA, 465 nt
Filed under: Vreelandella stevensii
Lineage: Bacteria; Pseudomonadati; Pseudomonadota; Gammaproteobacteria; Oceanospirillales; Halomonadaceae
Description: partial 16S ribosomal RNA
Rfam family: Bacterial small subunit ribosomal RNA
Source: RNAcentral
CCUACGGGAGGCUGCAGUGGGGAAUAUUGGACAAUGGGGGGAACCCUGAUCCAGCCAUGCCGCGUGUGUGAAGAAGGCCCUCGGGUUGUAAAGCACUUUCAGUGAGGAAGAACGCCUGGUGGUUAAUACCCAUCAGGAAAGACAUCACUCACAGAAGAAGCACUGGCUAACUCCGUGCCAGCAGCCGCGGUAAUACGGAGGGUGCGAGCGUUAAUCGGAAUUACUGGGCGUAAAGCGCGCGUAGGUGGCUUGAUAAGCCGGUUGUGAAAGCCCCGGGCUCAACCUGGGAACGGCAUCCGGAACUGUCAAGCUAGAGUGCAGGAGAGGAAGGUAGAAUUCCCGGUGUAGCGGUGAAAUGCGUAGAGAUCGGGAGGAAUACCAGUGGCGAAGGCGGCCUUCUGGACUGACACUGACACUGAGGUGCGAAAGCGUGGGUAGCAAACAGGAUUAGAUACCCCAGUAGUC